GACGAACGCUGGCGGCGUGCUUAACACAUGCAAGUCGUACGGUAAGGCCCUUUCGGGGGUACACGAGUGGCGAACGGGUGAGUAACACGUGAGUAACCUGCCCACAACUUUGGGAUAACGCUAGGAAACUGGUGCUAAUACUGGAUAUGUGCUCCUGCUGCAUGGUGGGGGUUGGAAAGCUCCGGCGGUUGUGGAUGGACUCGCGGCCUAUCAGCUUGUUGGUGGGGUAGUGGCCUACCAAGGCGGCGACGGGUAGCCGGCCUGAGAGGGUGACCGGCCACAUUGGGACUGAGAUACGGCCCAGGCUCCUACGGGAGGCAGCAGUGGGGAAUAUUGCACAAUGGGCGCAAGCCUGAUGCAGCAACGCCGCGUGCGGGAUGACGGCCUUCGGGUUGUAAACCGCUUUCAGCAGGGACGAAGCUUUUUGUGACGGUACCUGCAGAAGAAGCACCGGCUAACUACGUG
Molecule: ribosomal RNA, 465 nt
Filed under: uncultured bacterium
Lineage: Bacteria
Description: partial 16S ribosomal RNA
Rfam family: Bacterial small subunit ribosomal RNA
Source: RNAcentral